CCUACGGGGGGCAGCAGUGGGGGAUAUUGCACAAUGGGGGAAACCCUGAUGCAGCGACGCCGCGUGGGUGAAGAAGCGCCUCGGCGCGUAAAGCCCUGUCAGCAGGGAAGAAAAUGACGGUACCUGAAGAAGAAGCACCGGCUAACUACGUGCCAGCAGCCGCGGUAAUACGUAGGGGGCAAGCGUUAUCCGGAUUUACUGGGUGUAAAGGGGGCGCAGACGGCGAUGCAAGCCAGGAGUGAAAGCCCGGGGCCCAACCCCUGGACUGCUCUUGGAACUGCGUGGCUAGAGUGCAGGAGGGGCAGGCGGAAUUCGUGGUGUAGCGGUGAAAUGCGUAGAGAUCAGGAGGAACACCGGUGGCGAAGGCGGCCUGCUGGACUGCAACUGACGUUGAGGCCCGAAAGCGUGGGGAGCAAACAGGAUUAGAUACCCUUGUAGUC
RNAcentral lists this ribosomal RNA (440 nucleotides) under uncultured bacterium. Its description in RNAcentral is "partial 16S ribosomal RNA". It matches the Rfam family "Bacterial small subunit ribosomal RNA", at positions 338 to 795 of the family's 1533-position model. The record is from RNAcentral.